AUGCCAAACACCAAAAGCUCUGGUUUUGGAGCCAUUUCAGCCAUUUCAACACAUCCUGACUUCUGGUAUCAGGGAAUCACAGGAGCUGCAUACUUGAAGUACAUCAGCAGCCACAGGCAUGAUGUGGUGGCAACACAUUCUCUCACCAUGGGAACAGAGAGUGUGGUAGUCCUGGUUCACUCUGUUUCCACUCCUCUGCAUCUUUCCAAGGAAGCUCCGAAAUGGUGGCCAAGCUGGCAGGGAUUGGGUUUCAGAUUGCCACUGGUGUGUUUCAUCACAGAAGGAUUUUGGAGGCUCCUUGCCCUGGAGGAGCCCUGCAGACUUCCUGCCUGCUCACAGCAGGAACAUGCAGGAAUCUCAGGACAGUGCUCAAAACAAACUGGCACAAAGGACCUGAAAAAUGUGGGGAGCAUCUAAUAGAAAGAUCUUUCAGAAGAAUGCAAUACCUUUGAAUAAUAUUCAACAUAAUAUUCAGAAGGAAAUAUAUUUGAUAGUGGUUUACUUGUUGCACUAUAAGCUCUUUUCUGAGAAACAAGAAAUUCUAUGUAUUUUCUCCAAACGGGUUCUAGAAGGAAUACUGGAGCAAAGCAUAGAAAAAGUUAGGACUGACAUGGAAAUGGUGGUUAAUAUAUAAUGGUCUUUGAAAACAAUAUGUUAGCCUCUUCUAGUGAGCAGUGCCCACUGAAGACCCUGUACAUAUAAUCAUAGCAUCAUAGAAUGGUUUGGAUUGGGAUGGACCUGUAAGAUCAUCCAGUUCCAGGUCCCUGCUAUAGGCAAGAACACCUCUCUCCAGACCCUCUACAUCCUAAUACAAAAGCUCUUCUGUCUGCAAACCUGUUUAUUAACCAGCUGCCUUCCAUUCAAACAGUAAGGAGAAAAUGGUUGAUUAUCUUCAGCCCCCAUCCCUCCAUUUGAUAUAUGCACGGACACCAUUACGAAAUUUUUCCAUGCUCAUUAAUGCCAGUGAAUGGCUUUUUUCUCUCCCAGAGAAAGAAUAUUAGCAGAUUUCCAUGACCCAGGCCUUUCUUUCUACAGGCCUGCUGGAAUCAGUAGAGCUCGCAUGGCUGUGGGCACUGACAUCCCUGUGCAAGGGCUAUCAGCUUGCAUUAGUCACAACAAACCUCCUCCCAUCUCGCAGGGCCCUUUUCACAGAACAGUUGCUGGACGAAGGUUGCCUUGUUCUUAUCUCUUUUGGUUGCCAACAAAUGAAAUUAUAAAUGAGUGACAGGUAGGACCACAUUCAGGAGCAAGGUUUUUAACAGAGACUUUCUUUGUCUCUGGAAGUUGAGCAGUAAAGCUUCUUCCUGCAAAUCCUGGGCAGAGGGAGGGUCAUUUUCUAAAUCUGAAAGGCAAGCAUAGAGGCUUAAUUAUGAGCAGUGGCCAUCUUCCACUAAUUUCAUGAUUUUGAAAGCUAUUUCACAGGAGGCUGUGGGCACAGCUUAAAAUAUCUUGCCCAGUCCUUUAAAAUUGACAUUAAAAACAAAAGAGUGAUUUUUCUUUAUUAAAAUAAAAAAGAGAGAGAGGGAGAGAGAUAAAAAAGG
RNAcentral lists this long non-coding RNA (1541 nucleotides) under Coturnix japonica (Japanese quail). RNAcentral's name for it is "lncRNA (ENSCJPG00005011743.1)". The record is from RNAcentral. Lineage: Eukaryota; Metazoa; Chordata; Aves; Galliformes; Phasianidae.